RNAcentral lists this ribosomal RNA (440 nucleotides) under uncultured bacterium. Its description in RNAcentral is "partial 16S ribosomal RNA". It matches the Rfam family "Bacterial small subunit ribosomal RNA", at positions 338 to 795 of the family's 1533-position model. The record is from RNAcentral.
CCUACGGGGGGCAGCAGUAGGGAAUAUUGCUCAAUGGGGGAAACCCUGAAGCAGCAACGCCGCGUGGAGGAUGAAGGGUUUCGGAUUGUAAACCCCUUUUGUUAGAGAAGAUAAUGACGGUAUCUAACGAAUAAGCACCGGCUAACUCCGUGCCAGCAGCCGCGGUAAUACGGAGGGUGCAAGCGUUACUCGGAAUCACUGGGCGUAAAGAGCGGGUAGGCGGGAUAGCAAGUCAGAUGUGAAAUCCUAUGGCUUAACCAUAGAACUGCAUUUGAAACUGUUAUUCUAGAGUAUGGGAGAGGUAGGUGGAAUUCUUGGUGUAGGGGUAAAAUGCGUAGAGAUAAAGAGGAAUACUCAUUGCGAAGGCGACCUGCUAGAACAUAACUGACGCUGAGGCGCGAAAGCGUGGGGAGCAAACAGGAUUAGAUACCCGAGUAGUC